GAGUCCUUAUCUCAGUGGUAGAGUAUUUGACUAAAGAUCAAGAGGUCACUGGUUCAACUUUGGCAGGGCCCU
Capsicum annuum is the source of this 72-nucleotide non-coding RNA. The record is from Rfam. Lineage: Eukaryota; Viridiplantae; Streptophyta; Magnoliopsida; Solanales; Solanaceae.